CGCGGCCCUCGCGCCGCGGCCGUUGGGUGCCUUCGCCCGGCGCCGCCCGCCCGUCCCGGUGCUCCGCGCUCGGCCGCUGCCCCCGCCCCGGAGGUGUCCUGCCCGCUUUGCCAGAGCGAAGAGCACUGCUAGGAACAGAGGAUUUCAGCUGUGCCUUUGCUAUUUCCACACUUACCACUGAAUCAAUACUGUUUACGCAGAAACAGCAUUAUAGGUCAGUGGUGAAGAGAUCUGACCAGGAAAGGAAUCCUGCCCACCAGACAAACACUUGACAGCAUUUGUGGGGAAAUAAUCUGCCCUGUUUGGAGACUGGAGG
Grus americana (Whooping crane) is the source of this 316-nucleotide long non-coding RNA. RefSeq lists it as uncharacterized. Lineage: Eukaryota; Metazoa; Chordata; Aves; Gruiformes; Gruidae. The record is from RefSeq and is a predicted model, not a curated record. The transcript has 3 exons.